UACGUAGGGGGCAAGCGUUGUCCGGAAUCAUUGGGCGUAAAGCGCGUGUAGGCGGCCCGGUAAGUCCGCUGUGAAAGUCCAGGGCUCAACCCUGGGAUGCCGGUGGAUACUGUCGGGCUCGAGUCCGGAAGAGGAGUGUGGAAUUCCUGGUGUAGCGGUGAAAUGCGCAGAUAUCAGGAAGAACACCCGUGGCGAAGGCGGCUCUCUGGGACGGUACUGACGCUGAGACGCGAAAGCGUGGGGAGCGAACAGG
Molecule: ribosomal RNA, 253 nt
Filed under: uncultured bacterium
Lineage: Bacteria
Description: partial 16S ribosomal RNA
Rfam family: Bacterial small subunit ribosomal RNA
Source: RNAcentral